Molecule: small nuclear RNA, 103 nt
Organism: Chionomys nivalis (European snow vole)
Lineage: Eukaryota; Metazoa; Chordata; Mammalia; Rodentia; Cricetidae
Source: RefSeq, a predicted model, not a curated record
ACUUGCUUCUUCAGUAUAUAUGCUAAAUAAAAUGAUGCAGAAAAGCUUACCAUUGGCACUGUGCAAGGAUGCCAUGCAACUCUGUGAAGAAUUUCAUUUUAAU